GACGAACGCUGGCGGCGUGCUUAACACAUGCAAGUCGAACGGAAAGGCCCUGCUUGCAGGGUACUCGAGUGGCGAACGGGUGAGUAACACGUGGGUGAUCUGCCCUGCACUUCGGGAUAAGCCUGGGAAACUGGGUCUAAUACCGGAUAGGAGCCAUUUUUAGUGUGAUGGUUGGAAAGUUUUUCGGUGUAGGAUGAGCUCGCGGCCUAUCAGCUUGUUGGUGGGGUAAUGGCCUACCAAGGCGGCGACGGGUAGCCGGCCUGAGAGGGUGGACGGCCACAUUGGGACUGAGAUACGGCCCAGACUCCUACGGGAGGCAGCAGUGGGGAAUAUUGCACAAUGGGCGCAAGCCUGAUGCAGCGACGCCGCGUGGGGGAUGACGGCCUUCGGGUUGUAAACUCCUUUCGCUAGGGACGAAGCUUUUUGUGACGGUACCUAGAUAAGAAGCACCGGCUAACUACGUGCCAGCAGCCGCGGUAA
This 480-nucleotide ribosomal RNA is filed under the name uncultured Actinomycetales bacterium. Its description in RNAcentral is "bacterial SSU rRNA". It matches the Rfam family "Bacterial small subunit ribosomal RNA", at positions 28 to 523 of the family's 1533-position model. Lineage: Bacteria; Bacillati; Actinomycetota; Actinomycetes; Actinomycetales. The record is from RNAcentral.